This 99-nucleotide ribosomal RNA is filed under the name uncultured bacterium. RNAcentral describes it as "partial 16S ribosomal RNA". It matches the Rfam family "Bacterial small subunit ribosomal RNA", at positions 338 to 436 of the family's 1533-position model. The record is from RNAcentral.
CCUACGGGAGGCAGCAGCAGGGAAUAUUGCGCAAUGGGCGAAAGCCUGACGCAGCGACAUCGCGUGAAGGAUGAAGAUCCUUGGAUUGUAAACUUCAAU